Non-coding RNA from Picea glauca (white spruce), 47 nucleotides. The record is from Rfam. Lineage: Eukaryota; Viridiplantae; Streptophyta; Pinopsida; Pinales; Pinaceae.
CAAAAGGUUUUAUGUAAAAACCAUAAAAACAAUCAAAAACAUGCCAU